Molecule: ribosomal RNA, 688 nt
Filed under: Trechispora sp. 1 LR-2015
Lineage: Eukaryota; Fungi; Basidiomycota; Agaricomycetes; Trechisporales; Hydnodontaceae
Description: eukaryotic LSU rRNA
Rfam family: 5.8S ribosomal RNA (bases 270-423)
Source: RNAcentral
UAGAGGAAGUAAAAGUCGUAACAAGGUUUCCGUAGGUGAACCUGCGGAAGGAUCAUUAACGUAUCUCUGGCGGCGGACGGCGAUCCCUGCUCCGGUCCGAACGGGCCGUGCAGCGGGAUCCCGUCCCCGUCCAACCUUUGCAAACCCCCCUGUGCACAUUCACGGCGGACGGCCGAGGGGGCGAGAGCUCCUUUGGUCCGAAGCCGCAUCACUAAACCCCAAGUAUUUAAACGAAUGCUCUGCGACCCUGUGUCGCCUAACAAUUGAACAACUUUCAACAACGGAUCUCUUGGCUCUCGCAUCGAUGAAGAACGCAGCGAAAUGCGAUAAGUAAUGUGAAUUGCAGAAUUCAGUGAAUCAUCGAAUCUUUGAACGCACCUUGCGCUCCUUGGUAUUCCGAGGAGCAUGCCUGUUUGAGUGUCUUGAAGUCAUCAACCUCUCCCGUUUUUGUGCGGGUGUCGGUUGGAUAUGGGGGCAUGCUGCCGUGAGGUGGCUCCCCUCAAAUGCUUCGGUUGGACCUGUGGGUCGAACUCGACUGGGCGUUGUACCAUCCUCGCUCUCCUGAGAUGUUCUCCACUUACCGAGUCCUCCCUAGACCUGCCCGUGGGGUGGCGGUCAACAAAGCUCGACUUUGAAAUUCUGACCUCAAAUCAGGUAGGACUACCCGCUGAACUUAAGCAUAUCAAUA